This is a long non-coding RNA of Orbicella faveolata, 844 nucleotides long. RefSeq lists it as uncharacterized. NCBI's taxonomy places the organism in Eukaryota, Metazoa, Cnidaria, Anthozoa, Scleractinia, Merulinidae. The record is from RefSeq and is a predicted model, not a curated record.
CUGAUCCGAUACGGUUGAUUGAAUCUUGCAUAACAUUCCACAGUUUACCAAACAAACGUGGCCGAAAGGUGUAGCUUUGAAGAGUUAACUUUUGCAUCAACUGCAAGCGACACACCAGUCCACGACAAUGGUCGAUUCAACCGCCGCUAUCGCCGUCUGCAGUGUCGGGUUUGGACUGUUUGUAAUUGGCUGGAUCGGAAGUAUGUGUUACUUCAGGACGCCGUGCAAAGACAUCGAAAAAGAAACCCAACAUGUCGAAGAGGGGAACCUCGAUUAGACAUAUGAGAAGAUCUUGAGAUCAGUGUUGUUAUUUAGUGAGUUUGAGAGAAGUUUUAACCUGUACCUGAAGCUAAAGACUGAGGACUCAGGAUUAGCACUAGACAAUUGUAUUUUAUAUCUGAAUGAAGUAUCCACGACGAGCAGUUCAAGAAACAGCAGCAUUUACAAGUAGUCGACACUAUAAAUUUUUUUUACAAUGACUCUUCACUGGACAUGAACGACGCGUCCCACUCUAACCGAUAGAGGCUGGGUACUUCUACAUUUGUAAAUAUCUGGGUAACUUUACGAACCAUUCGUGACAUUUUGAUAUGUACUUGUUUUAGUUAGGCUUUGGUAAAUAAUAAAAAAUUGACACUUCAGUGCAGCUUACACAAUGCAUACUGCGUAGCUCCUUCAAUUACAAAUCCGGGUAGUUUUGCACAAGAGUCAUUGGUUUACACUAAAUCCAGAUCCGAUACUGUCCUGUUACUUUGCGCUUCUGUGGGACUAAGCAAUAUUUACUUUUGUCAGGAUUUCCCGCCCUAAAUAAGACCGCGUGGAAGAAGUAAAAUCGCAACAAAAUAUA